UGGGGAAUAUUGGACAAUGGGACGCAAGCCUGAUCCAGCCAUGCCGCGUGAGUGACGAAGGUCUUCGGAUUGUAAAGCUCUUUUGGCGGGGACGAUAAUGACGGUACCCGCAGAAUAAGCCCCGGCUAACUUCGUGCCAGCAGCCGCGGUAAUACGAAGGGGGCUAGCGUUGUUCGGAAUUACUGGGCGUAAAGCGCACGUAGGCGGACUGAUAAGUCAGGGGUGAAAUCCCGGGGCUCAACCUCGGAACUGCCUUUGAUACUGUUAGUCUCGAGUCCGGAAGAGGUGAGUGGAAUUCCUAGUGUAGAGGUGAAAUUCGUAGAUAUUAGGAAGAACACCAGUGGCGAAGGCGGCUCACUGGUCCGGUACUGACGCUGAGGUGCGAAAGCGUGGGGAGCAAACAGGAUUAGAUACCCAAGUAGUCCCUGAGCGGGCUGGCAAGGCGCAU
This 448-nucleotide ribosomal RNA is filed under the name uncultured bacterium. RNAcentral's name for it is "bacterial SSU rRNA". It matches the Rfam family "Bacterial small subunit ribosomal RNA", at positions 355 to 825 of the family's 1533-position model. The record is from RNAcentral.